RNAcentral lists this ribosomal RNA (565 nucleotides) under uncultured Glomeromycotina. RNAcentral describes it as "SSU rRNA". It matches the Rfam family "Eukaryotic small subunit ribosomal RNA", at positions 548 to 1114 of the family's 1831-position model. Lineage: Eukaryota; Fungi; Glomeromycota. The record is from RNAcentral.
UUGGAGGGCAAGUCUGGUGCCAGCAGCCGCGGUAAUUCCAGCUCCAAUAGCGUAUACUAAAGUUGUUGCAGUUAAAAAGCUCGUAGUUGAAUUUCGGGGUUAGUAGGUCGGUCAUGCCACUGGUAUGUACUGGUCUCACUGAUUCCUCCUUCCUGAUGAGCCGUAAUGCCAUUAAUUUGGUGUUGCGAGGAAUCUGGACCGUUACUUUGAAAAAAUUAGAGUGUUUAAAGCAAGCUAACGCUUGAAUACAUUAGCAUGGAAUAAUGAAAUAGGACGUUCGAUCCUAUUUUGUUGGUAUCUAGGAUUGACGUAAUGAUUAAUAGGGAUAGUUGGGGGCAUUAGUAUUCAAUUGUCAGAGGUGAAAUUCUUGGAUUUAUUGAAGACUAACUACUGCGAAAGCAUUUGCCAAGGAUGUUUUCAUUAAUCAAGAACGAAAGUUAGGGGAUCGAAGACGACCAGAUUCCGUCGUAGUCUUAACCAUAAACUAUGCCGACUAGGGAUCGGAUGAUGUUAAUUUUUUAAUGACUCAUUCGGCGCCUUACGGGAAACCAAAGUGUUUGGGUUC